This 482-nucleotide ribosomal RNA is filed under the name uncultured bacterium. Its description in RNAcentral is "partial 16S ribosomal RNA". It matches the Rfam family "Bacterial small subunit ribosomal RNA", at positions 28 to 507 of the family's 1533-position model. The record is from RNAcentral.
GACGAACGCUGGCGGCGUGCUUAACACAUGCAAGUCGAACGCUGAAGCUCAGCUUGCUGGGUGGAUGAGUGGCGAACGGGUGAGUAACACGUGAGUAACCUGCCCUCUUCUUUGGGAUAACGCCCGGAAACGGGUGCUAAUACUGGAUAUUCACUGAUUCUCGCAUGGGGGUUGGUGGAAAGGUUUUUUCUGGUGGGGGAUGGGCUCGCGGCCUAUCAGCUUGUUGGUGGGGUGAUGGCCUACCAAGGCUUUGACGGGUAGCCGGCCUGAGAGGGUGACCGGUCACAUUGGGACUGAGAUACGGCCCAGACUCCUACGGGAGGCAGCAGUGGGGAAGAUUGCACAAUGGGCGAAAGCCGGAUGCAGCGACGCCGCGUGAGGGAUGGAGGCCUUCGGGUUGUAAACCUCUUUCGCUCAUGGUCAAGCCGCAGCUUUGGGUUGUGGUGAGGGUAGUGGGUAAAGAAGCGCCGGCUAACUACGUG